UACGUAGGCAGCGAGCGUUGUUCGGAGUUACUGGGCGUAAAGAGUGCGUAGGCGGUGUUCCAAGUCUGUUGUGAAAUCUCCCGGCUUAACCGGGAGGGUGCGGCGGAAACUGGAAUGCUUGAGUACGGGAGAGGUAAGCGGAAUUCCUGGUGUAGCGGUGAAAUGCGUAGAUAUCAGGAGGAACACCUGCGGUGUAGACGGCUUACUGGACCGUAACUGACGCUGAGGCACGAAAGCGUGGGUAGCAAACAGG
RNAcentral lists this ribosomal RNA (253 nucleotides) under uncultured bacterium. Its description in RNAcentral is "partial 16S ribosomal RNA". It matches the Rfam family "Bacterial small subunit ribosomal RNA", at positions 524 to 776 of the family's 1533-position model. The record is from RNAcentral.